Molecule: ribosomal RNA, 250 nt
Filed under: uncultured prokaryote
Description: partial 16S ribosomal RNA
Rfam family: Bacterial small subunit ribosomal RNA
Source: RNAcentral
UACGUAGGUGACAAGCGUUAUCCGGAUUUACUGGGUGUAAAGGGCGUGUAGGCGGGUCUGCAAGUCAGAUGUGAAAUACUGGGGCUUAACCCCGGAACUGCAUCUGAAACUGCGGAUCUUGAGUACCGGAGAGGAAAGUGGAAUUCCCAGUGUAGCGGUGAAAUGCGUAGAGAUUGGGAGGAACACCAGUGGCGAAGGCGGCUUUCUGGACGGUAACUGACGCUGAGGCGCGAAAGCGUGGGGAGCAAAC